CACAGGCUUGUGAGUGUGAAGCCAGGACAUGGGACAGGAAGGGAGUGAAUCAGAGGUGGAGGAGGCUCUGUGUAUGGACAGGAAGCUAUGACUUUCUCUAGCUAUGCACAGGAGAGCUUGAGGCUCAUGAAGUUUUCCUUGCAGAAGCUGUCUAACCAGAGAUGGGCAAGAGUUCUUGGACAAAUGUCCAGAUUUUCACCUCUCAGUGGGACGACUCUGAGAUUGGUGUCCCUUCGAGGAAUCAUCCUCCUCAUCAUCACCGUUAUCCUGGCUGUCACUCUGGCCAUCAGCAAGGACCACCACCAGCAGCAACAAUCACCAUUGUUGUCAAAGUGGAUACUACGGGGCUAGAUCAGUGGUUCUCAAAAUGUAGUUCUGCACCAGAAGCAUUAGAUUCACUUAGCAACUUGUCAGAAAUCAAGCAAGCCCAGUAGGUGGUUGUGAUGUACAAUGAAUCUUGAACACCACUGUGCUAGACUGUGCCAAGGGCUUUUAAUGUUUUAUCUCAUUUGUUCCUCAGAAUUGCUCUCUGUGAUAAGCACCAUUAUAUUCAUUUUGAGAAAAUUGAGACGUAGUGAGGUUAAGUAACUUCACCAAGGUCACACAGCUUGUAAGGGGUAUAACGAGGUCCUGGAACACAUUUGUUUUACUGCACUGUACCACAUUUUCAGCGGGAGCAAAAUUUGUC
Molecule: long non-coding RNA, 688 nt
Organism: Chinchilla lanigera (long-tailed chinchilla)
Lineage: Eukaryota; Metazoa; Chordata; Mammalia; Rodentia; Chinchillidae
Exons: 3
Source: RefSeq, a predicted model, not a curated record